ACCACCUGAUCCCAUCCCGAACUCAGCAGUGAAACGAUGCAUCGCCGAUGGUAGUGUGGGGCUUCCCCAUGUGAGAGUAGGUCAUCGUCAAGA
This 93-nucleotide ribosomal RNA is filed under the name Pseudomonas putida. Lineage: Bacteria; Pseudomonadati; Pseudomonadota; Gammaproteobacteria; Pseudomonadales; Pseudomonadaceae. The record is from RNAcentral.